AACUAAAACUAGCUCAAAAAAUAACCAUACAAAACUACUUCUACAAGCCAAAACAAAACAUUUACCACCAUUAGAGUAUGGGCGAUAGAAAUAAUUUACAUGACGCUAUAGAAAAAGUACCGCAAGGGAAAGUUGAAAGAAACCAUUAUAAGUAAUAAAUAGCAAAGAUUAAUACUUGUACCUUUUGCAUUAUGAUUCAACUAGAAUGCCUUAGCAAAAAGAAUUAUAGUUAAACGACCCGAAACCAGACGAGCUACCUUCCAGCAGCCAAUCAGGGCAAACCCGUCUAUGUGGCAAAAUAGUGGGACGACUGAAAGGUAGGGGUGACAAGCCUAUCGAGCCUGGUGAUAGCUGGUUGUCCAGGACAGAAUUUUAGUUCUAAUUUAAAUUUACAAGAAAAAAAAAUAAAUUCUAACGUAAGUUUAAAGUAUAGUCUCAAAGGGUACAGCCUUUUAGACAAGGGAUACAACCCGCACUAGAGAGUAAGCAAGACCGGACUACAAUAGUUGGCCUAAAAGCAGCCAUCAAAUAAGAAAGCGUUCAAGCUCAACAGAACACCCCAAAUUGAUCCCAACAAUGACACUAACUCCUAGUAUAAAACUGGACCAUUCUAUUAAAUUAUAGAAGAAAUAAUGUUGAUAUGAGUAAUAAGAAACAUUUCUCCCCGCACACGUGUAUAUCAGAACGAAUAAGUCACUGAUAGUUACCAAAGUAUUCACAUACUAAAAAAUAAACCUAUACCACCACUUGUUAGUCCAACACAGGAGUGCAACCAAGGAAAGAUUAAAAGAAGCAAAAGGAACUCGGCAAAUUUUAACCCCGCCUGUUUACCAAAAACAUCACCUCUAGCAUAAAUAGUAUUAGAGGCACUGCCUGCCCGGUGACUUUAGUUUAACGGCCGCGGUAUCCUGACCGUGCAAAGGUAGCAUAAUCACUUGUUCCCUAAAUAGGGACUUGUAUGAAUGGCCUCACGAGGGUUACACUGUCUCUUGCUUCCAAUCAAUGAAAUUGACAUUCCCGUGAAGAGGCGGGAAUAAAAAGAUAAGACGAGAAGACCCUAUGGAGCUUUAAUUAAUUAGCCCACAAAAUAUAAUAUAACCCCAAGGGGACACGUCCACUUUAAUUGGGCUGAAAAUUUGGGUUGGGGUGACCUCGGAAUAAAAAAUAACUCCCGAGAAAAUCUAUCGAGACCAACAGGUCGAAAUUAGUCCACAAUAAAUUGACCCGCCACAGGCGAUCAACGAAACAAGUUACCCUAGGGAUAACAGCGCAAUCCUAUUUAAGAGUUCAUAUCGACAAUAAGGGUUUACGACCUCGAUGUUGGAUCAGGACAUCCCAAUGGUGCAGCAGCUAUUAAUGUGUUCGUUUGUUCAACGAUUAAAGUCCUACGUGAUCUGAGUUCAGACCGGAGUAAUCCAGGUCGGUUUCUAUCUAUUUUAUAGUCUCUCCCAGUACGAAAGGACAAGAGAGACAGGGCCCACUCAUCACCGAGCGCCCUUAUGACAACAGGUGAUUUAAUCUCAAUCUCACUAUAUAACACACAACCCAAGAUCAGGGAUA
This 1560-nucleotide ribosomal RNA is filed under the name Glauconycteris variegata (variegated butterfly bat). RNAcentral describes it as "16S ribosomal RNA". It matches the Rfam family "Bacterial large subunit ribosomal RNA", at positions 216 to 2830 of the family's 2925-position model. The record is from RNAcentral. Lineage: Eukaryota; Metazoa; Chordata; Mammalia; Chiroptera; Vespertilionidae.